UACGUAGGGUGCGAGCGUUAAUCGGAUUUACUGGGCGUAAAGCGUGCGCAGGCGGCCCGUUAAGACAGUGGUGAAAUCCCUGGGCUCAACCUAGGAAUUGCGCUUGUGACUGGCGGGCUUGAGUGCGGUAGAGGAGGGUGGAAUUCCUGGUGUAGCAGUGAAAUGCGUAGAGAUCAGGAGGAACACCGAUGGCGAAGGCAGCCCCCUGGGCCUGUACUGACGCUCAUGCACGAAAGCGUGGGGAGCAAACAGG
This 253-nucleotide ribosomal RNA is filed under the name uncultured microorganism. RNAcentral's name for it is "partial 16S ribosomal RNA". It matches the Rfam family "Bacterial small subunit ribosomal RNA", at positions 524 to 776 of the family's 1533-position model. The record is from RNAcentral.